RNAcentral lists this ribosomal RNA (228 nucleotides) under uncultured bacterium. Its description in RNAcentral is "partial 16S ribosomal RNA". It matches the Rfam family "Bacterial small subunit ribosomal RNA", at positions 104 to 334 of the family's 1533-position model. The record is from RNAcentral.
CGGGGUGAGUAAUGUCUGGGAAACUGCCUGAUGGGGGGGGAUAACUGCUGGAAACGGUAGCUAAUACCGCAUAACGUCGCAAGACCAAAGAGGGGGACCUUCGGGCCUCUUGCCAUCGGAUGUGCCCAGAUGGGAUUAGCUAGUAGGUGGGGUAACGGCUCACCUAGGCGACGAUCCCUAGCUGGUCUGAGAGGAUGACCAGCCACAUGGAACUGAGACACGGUCCAG